This is a long non-coding RNA of Alexandromys fortis (reed vole), 540 nucleotides long. RefSeq lists it as uncharacterized. NCBI's taxonomy places the organism in Eukaryota, Metazoa, Chordata, Mammalia, Rodentia, Cricetidae. The record is from RefSeq and is a predicted model, not a curated record. The transcript is spliced from 3 exons.
CCCAUCUCUGUGAAUGUUUAACACCACAAAGCUAUUGACUUAUUCUGGUCUGGAGAACAGUGCCAAACCCCCAGGGAUAGGGACUUUGAAGAUGUGAGCCAUCACAGAGAAUUGCAUCAUGCUACAGUCUUAAAGGAAGAUGGUGUCUCCUUCAGUCCACAGCUGGGCCUCAAGACCACACCUUGCCUGACUGCCCAGGUGGUCAGCUCUUCUUGAAGGAUGGAUGCUCUCUUUUGCAGAAAGAGGACCUAGAAAGACAUCUCGUAUAAGAAAGCACAGCGGGGAAGCAGCAGGGUGUUGCAGAAAGGCACUUGAGACCCUGAGCCAGGAGGGAACGGUGAAACUGCACUGGACUGUGGAAGAAUCAAAGUUGCCGUGGCUGACCCAGGUUCAGGGGACCAACCCAGUUCACGCUGGUGAUGGGCAAGUGUGGGGCUCACAGUGACUUCUGGAGUGAGGAAGAAUCAGGCUAGUUGCCAGCUUCUUUUCAGAAGGCAUGCCCACCUAUGCCACACCUACAUCUUCGAGCAUGCUCAGCUC